Molecule: long non-coding RNA, 1003 nt
Organism: Lactuca sativa (garden lettuce)
Lineage: Eukaryota; Viridiplantae; Streptophyta; Magnoliopsida; Asterales; Asteraceae
Source: RefSeq, a predicted model, not a curated record
UUGUAAACAUCAUCAGGAGCAUUGAAUGAGCUUUCUCUGUUGUCGACACAAUUAAUCCGACCAUCAAAAGUGACGUUUCUCGUUGGUCCAUUGUUGAAGAUGAAGGGAUCAUCAGGUGCCCAGGUUUUUCUUAAGAUCACCAAUUCUUUUGGCGGGUGAAAUAGAUGAGAAAGUGGAAGAGGGACUUGAAUAGAUUUGAUGGUGUCGUGAAAGCUUCAAUGGCGUUUACAAACGCAGAAGGUGAGCCACUUGAGGGUUUAAACUCGAUUAUGAGCUUACGAUUAGAUGAAAUCUGGAAUAUAAAUUCUCUAACUGCAGUCGUGUUUCCGAUGCUAAAACCAGAAAACAGAGAAACCCCGGAGACAAAAAAAAAACGUCUAAAAUUUUGAAUUGCAAAAAUUUGAAUCCAUUAGUAAAGAAUUGGGAAAAGUGAAGGUGUACCGUUAUGAAAGUUUUGAUUUCAUCUACUUCGAGUUCGUAUCAUGAUUUCUUAGUGAAAACUCUUGCUGUUUGAUAGAUAUUCGGCAAGUCGGUUGUCAGGUUGUUGUUUUCUAUGGCUACAUGACCACCGAAGAUGGAGAAAGUUGGGGGUUGAUGUCGCCGAUGAAUUUCCGGCUAACGAGAUUCUGACGAAGGAGAAAAAGAGAUAUCAACGAUAGCUUUAGCGUUCUUCUAGCGACUGUAGAGCAUUUUUGGCGACGUUUUUGAUUUCCAGCUUUACCAGCGACUGUUGUUGUCACCGCCGACGACUACCACCACCACUACACCAUCUGUUGAUUUCUUGCCACCACAAGUUCUAUUUACUGUGAAUUUCGAGAUUAAUUACAAAAUAUGUGUAUUUUUAUAUAUUAGAUGAAAUUUGGCAUAUGUGUGUAUAUUUGAUAUAUGUAUGUGAAUCUUUGUGUUUGGCGUAUGUAUGUGAAAGCAUAUGUAUUUGGUGUGUAUAUGUAAAAGUAUGUGUGUUUGGUAUAAUUAUGAUGAUAUUAGGUAUGUAUGUGUAUUU